AUGGCGUAUGUAGUGGCCAGCAUCUUGAAAACAUUAAGCACACCUCUCCUACAGGAAGCAAUUUUCCUGUAUGGAAUAGGGGAACAAGUCGACAGACUUAAGGCCGAGCUAAGGCGGAUGAACGCCUUCCUUAAAGAUGUGGACAUGAUAGGAGACAGUGAUGAGAGAACAAAAAAUUUGGUAGAAGAAAUACGAGAUCUUGCGUCUGAGUCUGAGAACAUCAUCGAAAUGUUUGUUCUUCAAGCUACGCAGCAAAAUAGAAGGGAACUUAUGGGUUCUCUGAGAAAUUAUGCCUGUUUGAUUUGGCAUUUGAGAGGACGCCAUGAGGUGGGUACGAGGAUAGAAGCUAUCAACAAUAAGCUUGGCGAUAUUGCAAGGGCCAGGUCCAUCUAUGAUGCGCCGCAGAGCAACAACUUGGGGGAAGCCACAAUUUCUAGCGCCCAAAGUUUCAGAGAGAUGAGAAAAUCAUCACCUCUAAAAGUCGAACAGGAUUUAGUGGGGAUUGAGAAGAAAGUGAAUUCUUUAAAGGAAUCAUUAUUGGAUGGAGAAGAACAACUCUCUGUGGUUUUUGUUGUUGGUAAGGGGGAGUUGGGUAAAGAAUUUUUUAAAUAUAUAUACGUGCUUUAUCAUAACGUCUUUUCAAGAAGAACGAUCUAUUAUCUUGAACCAUUGCGAGAAAAUGAGAGUUCGGAGUUGUUCAGCAAAAAGGCUUAUGUGAAAAGCAAUGGAAAAUGUCCCCAAUAUUUGGCAAAUAUUAGCAAUGGCAUUGUGAAUAGAUGUGGAGGGUUACCCCUGGCACUUGUCGUAGUUGGUGGUCUGCUAUCCAUGAAAUUCAUGACUGAGGAUAUAAGGGCAUCAUCGGAAUGGCAGAAAGUGCUUAACGGCUUCAGCUAUUAUCAAGAUAGAGGUAAAAUCAAUACCUCUGAGAUACUAUCAUUAAGUUAUUUCGAUUUACCCUACUACCUUAAACCAUGUUUUUUAGUUUUAUCUACUUACCCCGAAGAUUACAAGAUCAGAAGGACUACAUUAAUACAAUUAUGAGUGGCUGAAGGGUUUAUUGAAAAGCGAGGAGAUGAGAUAUUAGAAGAUGUGGCAGAGGACUAUCUUAAAGAAUUGGUAAGUCAGAGUAUGUUACAGGCGGAAAUUAUGAGCUCGAGUGGACGCAUCAAAUCUUGUGGAAUGCAUGAUCUUUUACGUGACACGUGUUUAAGAAAAGCUGAGGAGCAGAACUUCUUAGGCGUGGUUGCAGUGCACGGAACAAUGCAAAAAUUGGACCCACCAUUGGCUCUUGAGAAAUUGGAAUCGGUUGGAAAGUUAGGGAAGAUACCAAGCUGGUUUGGGAGCCUUCCAAACCUCACCAAGUUGGUUUUAUGUUAUAAUGAAUUCGAUGAGGAGCGGUUCUUAAAGCUCCCAAGAUUAGAGGAGUGGAUGAGAUGGGAAGAAGGAUCCAUGUCAUGCCUUCAACCUCUGGAGAUUAAGACUUGUCGCAAAUUGAGGAAGCUUCCACAAGGUUUAGAGCACACUUCUACCCUCCAACGAGUGCAUUGUUCUUAUUUUGGAAAAGAAUUUAGUGGGAGAGUGUUAGAUGAUGCACCUCCUCAUCUUUGGCGCGAAACCAGAAGGGAUUAUCAUAAUCAAGAGUGGAAACGUGCAGCCCUUUGA
Amborella trichopoda is the source of this 1662-nucleotide non-coding RNA. NCBI's taxonomy places the organism in Eukaryota, Viridiplantae, Streptophyta, Magnoliopsida, Amborellales, Amborellaceae. The record is from RefSeq and is a predicted model, not a curated record.